This is a long non-coding RNA of Calidris pugnax (ruff), 2892 nucleotides long. RefSeq lists it as uncharacterized. The transcript has 3 exons. NCBI's taxonomy places the organism in Eukaryota, Metazoa, Chordata, Aves, Charadriiformes, Scolopacidae. The record is from RefSeq and is a predicted model, not a curated record.
GAUGCCAAGGAGGUUUUGGCUGAGAAGAACCGUCUCAGUAAGGACACGCUUGAAGCUGAGAGCAGAGCAAUGCUGCAACAGGCAGCUACAGUAUGGAAGAAAAGCCAUUUUUCUCUGUCCCGUCGGGAGGAGACAGCCAGCUGUGACUCACACUCCCUGCUCCCAUCCCCCGGGUUCAUUUUUGACACAGCAGCUAUUGAUAAGACCUUGAAAGAGCAGGAAGUUUCCCUGGCAGAGGUGGCUGGAUGGGCAACGUGUGGUUAUACUGCUAAUGAGCCUAAGUGGAGCACUUUGCUCAAAGGCAUGAACAAGCUCCCAAGCUUUGACUGUACCAUCAACAGCCGCCUGCUCUUGGUGAUCAACUCAGCCCCACCACGCUUCAUGGCCAAAGGGACACUUUCACCAGCACCACCACUAUAAUGGUUUAAUUAUGGGCAGAGAGGAGAGAGAGCUGCCAAGGAGGAGAUCAAGGGACAGGUUGAUGUUCAACCAGAGCAGAAUUUAACAGCAAUAGCAACGUGAGGGUGCGAUAGUGCAACCCCCACCCUGCCCUUUAGGCCUCUGGGUACUUGGCGUGAUUUCCUCCCCACCUGGGUGAGGGAAUGUAAUAAUUGAAAUAAUACAAUGGACCAGAACGUAACAUAAUGGUCUACCAUGAAAGAAAGAAAGAAAGGUGGAGAGCAACAGACUAGAACACUACAGCAACCUCUUAGUGUGCCUGGUCUCCAUGGCUCUCACUGUUUGAAAAUAAUAACAAUAAUAAAUCACGCCUGACAUCAUAUGGAUCGUGGCCACAGAGGAGAAGGAUACCAGGACCCCAAGACGUAGCAAGUUCUGGGCUUGCGUAAUUGGUGGAAAGUACUGGAAUAUUCCAUUGUCCGAGCUGGGCCAGAGUGGAAAAUUACCUGAUGAAAGUCAAUUGUCCCAGAUCCUGUACGUAACGAUUCUAGUAAAGAGCCUUUGAGCACUUGUGGAUCACAGCAGGCUGUGGCCAGUAUCUCCCCUGAGCUGGGACACUGCUUGGGCUGACACCUCAAGAAUCAGAAGGCCAGGGCUUCACCGUGAGCAUCUUACAAAAGCCACUUAGCUCUUUUCAGGCUGGCGUGCGAGAAGAAAUGUGUUCUUUUCACACUGUUCUCACCAGAAAUGCUGAAUAUGCAUCUCCUGCAAGAGCUAUUUUCCUUUCCUGCAACCACAUCCAUGAAUGCCAUCUUCCCCGUUGGUGCAAAUCAGCGUGGUUCCAGCAGUAGUACCAGUGGUGUGUAAACUGGUGUCAUCAGAUGGUCUGGAUCUCAUUUCAAGGCUCUGUGCUCUUCCAUGUGACAUCUGAACCACAAAUAAAAUGUUUAAUAGAGUCAGUUAUGAUCCACGGAUUUCCUACCUCGGCAUUGUUAACAGCUUAUAUCCACUUCCAGCUUUAUAUGAUACUGAUUAUAGCGGCGGAAGUCACACCAUCCAGCGAGUUAGGUGACGUUGUGACUCUUCCUUGACCUCCACAUCAGCACAAGGGUAGCAAACAAAAUGGAUUGUUUAGGUGCUCUUCUUCUACCAUUGUGGUUGAAGUAAAAUUCUUCCAUGAAUUUCAAGUCUCAAAAAAUAAGUUGAAAUGUUAAGUCCCGACAGAGGAAAGGUGCUUCUCUGCAUUCUGGACACCGGUUACUAAAUUCUUAUGUUUUUCAUCUCAAGAAUAUCUUCCUGAUGCCGGAGGAUACGACCAGGAUGCUAAUGAAAACAACACAUGGAAGACCUCAGGAUAAGCCCCAGUGUCUGCUGAAGCUCUGAUCUGGGUCCUAGAGCAAACACAGAUGCAUCUAAAAUAGUUAUCGAAGAAAAACAACUUGUGACUCAAGAAGGAAAGUCUGUACGUGCCUCCAGACUAAUGGCUGGUCUCGGCCAUGGGAUUAACUUCCAGACUUUGCGUAUGAAGAAGCAACGUUUACUAAGAGGAAGGGGGGCUGAACGUCCAAGUGGCCACAAAGGGAGCGUAGCUGAAUAUUUCAUUUAGCUUUUCGAUGGGCAAAUUUUGUACUGAUCACAGGUGAUGAUUUACAAAUAUCCAGAAACAGGUUGAAGCAGACAGAUAAGGAGGAAACAAGAUUAUCUUUUUUUAGCAAUUCACUCAAUGGAGAAACCAAUGUCUGAGCCCAAGAACGCUGCAAGAAGAAAUUUUAAAAGCAAAUCCUCAACGUAGCAGAAAUCUUCCAGCCCAGCUUCACGCUAUUCAGUGUGCUGGGUGACACAUCUAUCACCACCUGCUCUGGCAGCAUUCUCCCAUUUCACAAACAUGGGUUUAAUUAUAUCUGUUGGGUUUGAUUCCUGUAAUUUUUCAGAGGAAAGCACUAAGGAACUAUAAGUGGAUCGGAAAUUAUUUGGUUGGGAGGUUGGGAUUUUUUUUCUUCUUUUUCUUUAUUUCUGUCUCAAAAUAUCUCUGGCAUCAUGUGAAGUACUUUUCCAUUGACAUUGGUCACUCAGUAAGUUCUUAGGAAAUUUUGGUUUGCCUUGUGAUAUUUGCCAGUUUGCUCCAUGGAACGCUAUAUUUUUGGGCAGGCUGUAGAAAUACCCAAGAAUUCACAACACAGAUUUCAACAUCUCCCAGUUGGAAGAAUUUUGGAGUGACAGCAGAUUUGUUUUCUAGUCUACACAGUGAGCUGAAUCACCAUCCCACAGCCAACAUCUCCCUACCUUCAGCCUUGUUUCUGGUUAAAUGCUGGAGCUGAAAGCCAGCCCAGGUGUAAUCCUGCAUUUCUUUGCACCAGGUCUGAUGCAUGUGGGGACACAGGACAAAGGCUGGUCCAAAAGCCAAGCUCAAAUUGCCACAAAGCACAUUAGGCACAGACUACCCUAAACUGGAUAGGAAGUUAUUUAGCUGAAUAAAACUUUAAAAAAAAUAAA